RNAcentral lists this non-coding RNA (23 nucleotides) under Cricetulus griseus (Chinese hamster). Lineage: Eukaryota; Metazoa; Chordata; Mammalia; Rodentia; Cricetidae. The record is from RNAcentral.
UCUCUAUUUACUAAGGAUUGAAG